Molecule: ribosomal RNA, 379 nt
Filed under: uncultured eukaryote
Lineage: Eukaryota
Description: partial 18S ribosomal RNA
Rfam family: Eukaryotic small subunit ribosomal RNA
Source: RNAcentral
CAAUAGCGUAUAUUAAAGUUGUUGCAGUUAGAACGCUCGUAGUCGGAUUUCGGGGCGGGCCGACCGGUCUGCCGAUGGGUAUGCACUGGCCGGCGCGUCCUUCCUCUCGGAGACCGUUCCUACUCUUAACUGAGCGGGAGCGGGAGACGGGACUUUUACUUUGAAAAAAUCAGAGUGUUUCAAGCAGGCAGCUCGCUCUUGCAUGGAUUAGCAUGGGAUAAUGAAAUAGGACUUUGGUGCUAUUUUGUUGGUUUCGAACACCGAAGUAAUGAUGAGAAGGGACGGUCAGGGGCACUCGUAUUCCGCCGAGAGAGGUGAAAUUCUCAGACCAGCGGAAGACGAACCACUGCGAAAGCAUUUGCCAGGGAUGUUUUCAUUA